GCUCAGGACGAACGCUGGCGGCGUGCCUAAUACAUGCAAGUCGAGCGAAUCGAUGGGAGCUUGCUCCCUGAGAUUAGCGGCGGACGGGUGAGUAACACGUGGGCAACCUGCCUAUAAGACUGGGAUAACUUCGGGAAACCGGAGCUAAUACCGGAUACGUUCUUUUCUCGCAUGAGAGAAGAUGGAAAGACGGUUUACGCUGUCACUUAUAGAUGGGCCCGCGGCGCAUUAGCUAGUUGGUGAGGUAAUGGCUCACCAAGGCGACGAUGCGUAGCCGACCUGAGAGGGUGAUCGGCCACACUGGGACUGAGACACGGCCCAGACUCCUACGGGAGGCAGCAGUAGGGAAUCUUCCGCAAUGGACGAAAGUCUGACGGAGCAACGCCGCGUGAACGAAGAAGGCCUUCGGGUCGUAAAGUUCUGUUGUUAGGGAAGAACAAGUACCAGAGUAACUGCUGGUACCUUGACGGUACCUAACCAGAAAGCCACGGCUAACUACGUGCCAGC
RNAcentral lists this ribosomal RNA (507 nucleotides) under Bacillus sp. (in: firmicutes). RNAcentral's name for it is "bacterial SSU rRNA". It matches the Rfam family "Bacterial small subunit ribosomal RNA", at positions 22 to 512 of the family's 1533-position model. The record is from RNAcentral. Lineage: Bacteria; Bacillati; Bacillota; Bacilli; Caryophanales; Bacillaceae.